This 586-nucleotide ribosomal RNA is filed under the name uncultured bacterium. RNAcentral describes it as "partial 16S ribosomal RNA". It matches the Rfam family "Bacterial small subunit ribosomal RNA", at positions 355 to 1375 of the family's 1533-position model. The record is from RNAcentral.
UGGGGAAUUUUGGACAAUGGGCGAAGGCCUGAUCCAGCAAUGCCGCGUGUGUGAAGAAGGCCUUCGGGUUGUAAAGCACUUUUGUCCGGAAAGAAAUCCUUGGCUCUAAUACAGUCGGGGGAUGACGGUACCGGAAGAAUAAGCACCGGCUAACUACGUGCCAGCAGCCGCGGUAAUACGUAGGGUGCAAGCGUUAAUCGGAAUUACUGGGCGUAAAGCGUGCGCAGGCGGUUUGCUAAGACCGAUGUGAAAUCCCCGGGCUCAACCUGGGAACUGCAUUGGUGACUGGCAGGCUAGAGUAUGGCAGAGGGGGGUAGAAUUCCACGUGUAGCAGUGAAAUGCGUAGAGAUGUGGAGGAAUACCGAUGGCGAAGGCAGCCCCCUGGGCCAAUACUGACGCUCAUGCACGAAAGCGUGGGGAGCAAACAGGAUUAGAUACCCUGGUAGUCCACGCCCUAAACGAUGUCAACUAGUUGUUGGGGGAUUCAUUUCCUUAGUAACGUAGCUAACGCGUGAAGUUGACCGCCUGGGGAGUACGGUCGCAAGAUUAAAACUCAAAUGAAUUGACGGGGUCAUAGCUGUUUCCU